RNAcentral lists this ribosomal RNA (428 nucleotides) under uncultured prokaryote. Its description in RNAcentral is "bacterial SSU rRNA". It matches the Rfam family "Bacterial small subunit ribosomal RNA", at positions 355 to 774 of the family's 1533-position model. The record is from RNAcentral.
UGAGGAAUCUUGCGCAAUGGGGGCAACCCUGACGCAGCAACGCCGCGUGAGUGAAGAAGGCCUUCGGGUCGUAAAGCUCUGUCGAGUGGAAAGAAACGUAUGUAGGUUAAUACCCUGCAUACUUGACGGUACCGCUAAAGGAAGCACCGGCUAACUCCGUGCCAGCAGCCGCGGUAAUACGGGGGGUGCAAGCGUUGUUCGGAAUUAUUGGGCGUAAAGAGCGUGUAGGCGGCGGGAUAAGUCAGAUGUGAAAGCCCUGGGCUCAACUCAGGAAGUGCAUUUGAUACUGUUUCGCUUGAGUACUGGAGAGGGAAGAGGAAUUCCUGGUGUAGAGGUGAAAUUCGUAAAUAUCAGGAGGAACACCGGUGGCGAAGGCGACUUCCUGGCCAGAUACUGACGCUGAGACGCGAGAGCGUGGGGAGCAAACA